GAAAUUUUAAACAUAUUUAAAACUUUCCAUUCACAACCGAGUGUUUCUGCGUUUCAUAAUUUUCAAUACAAGCAAUAUUUCCAUUUGGACGAAUGAGAUUUGGUUUCCAAAUAAUAUCUCGUUUUUUGAUCCGUGUAUAAAUUUGUAUGACUGUAUAGUUAGACAAACCUUCAUCACUUUCUUUAUCUCAGUCUCUCUCUCUUUCUCGCUAAACAUACUUGGCAUAUUGACAACUUUUUAAUAUUUUAUGUAGCUCUGUUGGUUUCUUUGAAAAUAAAAGAGACAACGUGGUAAGAUACAUGAGUACAUUGUGCAAUUCUUGGCCGGGCAUGAUCGGUUGUAAAACAAUUGGCCCCAAACCCUAACUAUCUCCUUGUCGAUCUUCCUCAGGAACCCUCGUAAUAAUGGAGCUGACGGUGGAUAUGAACCUGGAAAUGGAUCGGCCUGGUGACAUC
This 455-nucleotide long non-coding RNA is filed under the name Physcomitrium patens. RNAcentral's name for it is "long non-coding RNA (PPAT_LNC002218)". Lineage: Eukaryota; Viridiplantae; Streptophyta; Bryopsida; Funariales; Funariaceae. The record is from RNAcentral.